ACAGUCUCAGCGGCUGCUGCUCCUGACGGGCACGCGUGAUGCCCAGUCUGGAGGGUUCGCUGCAAUCAGUGCUACAGCUUUAGAAACUGUGAUUUACUGCUGAUUUAAAACUCUUUAAAGAGCCGACUUCCUGCCGAUGGGGCUGAGGGAAGAGCGGCAGGCGCAGUGCUGGCAGAGACUCCGGCAGGGCCUCGUGCGGGGGCCGGGAGCAGCGCCUUCUUUUUAGGAAACGACGCUUCAGGCUCAGGCCCGUCCAUGCUCCUCUCCCGUGUGAGUGCAGAGAAGGUCCUGGGUUCUGUCUGCUGCUUCACUCUGGGGUGCGGCCUAGGAUUCUUCUGGAAGAAGUGGUCUGUUUGAUUCCAACAGCAGUGACAGCCCAGCUCCUGUUACAGAAGUGGAAAACCAAAUCUGCCACCAGGGACUGGCGUGUGAAUUAAACAUCCACUUGGAAACCGUAUGCCCCACAGAAAGCCAAACCCGAUCCCCACUCCUCUUGGGACAUGAGAAAGGGAGGCCGCCGGGUGAAGCUGGAGAAGGGGUGGUCUGUGGAGGUCUCCCUUUGUGGAGCAGAGAC
RNAcentral lists this long non-coding RNA (574 nucleotides) under Homo sapiens (human). RNAcentral's name for it is "non-protein coding lnc-DLL1-1:2". The record is from RNAcentral. Lineage: Eukaryota; Metazoa; Chordata; Mammalia; Primates; Hominidae.